RNAcentral lists this ribosomal RNA (517 nucleotides) under uncultured bacterium. RNAcentral describes it as "bacterial SSU rRNA". It matches the Rfam family "Bacterial small subunit ribosomal RNA", at positions 30 to 524 of the family's 1533-position model. The record is from RNAcentral.
AUUGAACGCUGGCGGCAGGCCUAACACAUGCAAGUCGAGCGGCAGCGACAUAAACAAUCCUUCGGGUGCGYUUAUGGGCGGCGAGCGGCGGACGGGUGAGUAAUGCCUGGGAAUAUGCCCUGAUGUGGGGGAUAACCAUUGGAAACGAUGGCUAAUACCGCAUAAUCUCUUCGGAGCAAAGAGGGGGACCUUCGGGCCUCUCGCGUCAGGAUUAGCCCAGGUGAGAUUAGCUAGUUGGUGAGGUAAGAGCUCACCAAGGCGACGAUCUCUAGCUGGUCUGAGAGGAUGAUCAGCCACACUGGAACUGAGACACGGUCCAGACUCCUACGGGAGGCAGCAGUGGGGAAUAUUGCACAAUGGGGGAAACCCUGAUGCAGCCAUGCCGCGUGUGUGAAGAAGGCCUUCGGGUUGUAAAGCACUUUCAGUUGUGAGGAAGGCRUAURCGUUAAUAGCGUAUGUGUUUGACGUUAGCAACAGAAGAAGCACCGGCUAACUCCGUGCCAGCAGCCGCGGUAAU